Molecule: ribosomal RNA, 580 nt
Filed under: Bacillus subtilis
Lineage: Bacteria; Bacillati; Bacillota; Bacilli; Caryophanales; Bacillaceae
Description: bacterial SSU rRNA
Rfam family: Bacterial small subunit ribosomal RNA
Source: RNAcentral
UCUAGAUGUUAGCGGCGGACGGGUGAGUAACACGUGGGUAACCUGCCUGUAAGACUGGGAUAACUCCGGGAAACCGGGGCUAAUACCGGAUGGUUGUCUGAACCGCAUGGUUCAGACAUAAAAGGUGGCUUCGGCUACCACUUACAGAUGGACCCGCGGCGCAUUAGCUAGUUGGUGAGGUAACGGCUCACCAAGGCGACGAUGCGUAGCCGACCUGAGAGGGUGAUCGGCCACACUGGGACUGAGACACGGCCCAGACUCCUACGGGAGGCAGCAGUAGGGAAUCUUCCGCAAUGGACGAAAGUCUGACGGAGCAACGCCGCGUGAGUGAUGAAGGUUUUCGGAUCGUAAAGCUCUGUUGUUAGGGAAGAACAAGUGCCGUUCAAAUAGGGCGGCACCUUGACGGUACCUAACCAGAAAGCCACGGCUAACUACGUGCCAGCAGCCGCGGUAAUACGUAGGUGGCAAGCGUUGUCCGGAAUUAUUGGGCGUAAAGGGCUCGCAGGCGGUUUCUUAAGUCUGAUGUGAAAGCCCCCGGCUCAACCGGGGAGGGUCAUUGGAAACUGGGGAACUUGAGUGC